GGGUGUUGGUUUUCUGCAGAGGCCCAGUCAGAUUCGGCCAGGAGCAAGAUGUGGACAGGAGUUGUGGGGAUUGUCCUGGGCCUGGUAUUUCUGGCCGCCGGAUUCACUUUCUAUCUGCACAGUAAGAAAGCAUAUGCUGUUGCUCAGCCGGCAGGACUCCGCAGUUAAGCUUCUCAGCCACAGACAUGUCCCACCAUGGGAAAGGACCUGCUUCCUCCCUCUCGCAGCUGCUUCUUUCUUGCUCCGAG
This 248-nucleotide long non-coding RNA is filed under the name Salvator merianae (Argentine black and white tegu). RNAcentral describes it as "lncRNA (ENSSMRG00000000161.1)". Lineage: Eukaryota; Metazoa; Chordata; Lepidosauria; Squamata; Teiidae. The record is from RNAcentral.